GAUCCGGACUCGCGCGAUCGUGACGCCCGAACCUUGUCAGGACCGGAAGGUAGCAGCAAUAAGGGAUGCUCGCGAUAGGCGCGAACUCCGGGUCGCU
This 97-nucleotide signal recognition particle RNA is filed under the name Rubidibacter lacunae KORDI 51-2. Its description in RNAcentral is "Bacterial small signal recognition particle RNA". It matches the Rfam family "Bacterial small signal recognition particle RNA". Rfam says of the family: The signal recognition particle (SRP) is a universally conserved ribonucleoprotein involved in the co-translational targeting of proteins to membranes. The record is from Rfam by way of RNAcentral. Lineage: Bacteria; Bacillati; Cyanobacteriota; Cyanophyceae; Chroococcales; Aphanothecaceae.